CCUACGGGUGGCAGCAGUGAGGAAUAUUGGUCAAUGGACGAGAGUCUGAACCAGCCAAGUAGCGUGAAGGAUGACUGCCCUCUGGGUUGUACACUUCUUUUAUAUGGGCAUAAAAUGUUCCACGUGUGGGAUUUUGUAUGUACCAUAUGAAUAAGGAUCAGCUAACUCCGUGCCAGCAGCCGCGGUAAUACGUAGGUGGCAAGCGUUAUCCGGAAUGACUGGGCGUAAAGGGUGCUUAGGUGGUUUAGUAAGUUGACGGUGUAAUUCCGGGGCUCAACCUCGGCGCUACCGCCAAAACGAUUAGACGAGAGUGCAGGAGUGGUAAGUGGAAUUCCUAGUGUAGCGGUGGAAUGAGUAGAUAUUAGGAGGAACAUCAGGGGCGAAGGCGACUUACUGGACUGUAACUGACACUGAGGCACGAAAGCGUGGGGAGCAAACAGGAUGAGAUACCCGAGUAGUC
Molecule: ribosomal RNA, 460 nt
Filed under: uncultured bacterium
Lineage: Bacteria
Description: partial 16S ribosomal RNA
Rfam family: Bacterial small subunit ribosomal RNA
Source: RNAcentral